Molecule: long non-coding RNA, 461 nt
Filed under: Chinchilla lanigera (long-tailed chinchilla)
Lineage: Eukaryota; Metazoa; Chordata; Mammalia; Rodentia; Chinchillidae
Description: lncRNA (ENSCLAG00000026879.1)
Source: RNAcentral
UUAAUAUGAUUAUCUGCCUAGAAAACUCAAGAGAAUUAGCUGAAAAUAUAUCAGAAUAGAAUAUUUAAAUAAAUGAGCCUUGUUUCUUCCUGUUGACAUCAUCAGUCAUCUUUUGAGUAUACUGUGAGGCCCACUUUCUCCACAAGCCAGUGCUGGGGAAGAAAAAGAGGAGCAAAGGGAGCUUCAAGGAGCCAACCUCAUUUUACGUCAUCCUUGGCUUUAUCCAUUUAUUAUCAAUCUAUUCAACAGGAAUUCACAGUCUAACAUGGAAGUCAAAGGAAUCAGAGGUGUCUCGGUGAGUGCCACGGCAGAGGAGAGACACCGUAAAUGAAGGCACAGAGGGCCGACAAGAUGCUGUCUGAGAAAUACAAUAUUUCAUCCGGGUUCUGAAGGCGGGGGAGAGUGUGAGCCACUCACUCCUUGAAAAAUCUCCUCUUGAAUUUCCUCCUCCUCCUUUCUUU